RNAcentral lists this ribosomal RNA (253 nucleotides) under uncultured bacterium. Its description in RNAcentral is "partial 16S ribosomal RNA". It matches the Rfam family "Bacterial small subunit ribosomal RNA", at positions 524 to 776 of the family's 1533-position model. The record is from RNAcentral.
CACGUAGGGUGCAAGCGUUGUCCGGAAUUAUUGGGCGUAAAGGGCUCGUAGGCGGUCCGUCACGUCGGGAGUGAAAACUCGGGGCUCAACCCCGAGCCUGCUUUCGAUACGGGCGGACUAGAGGUAGGUAGGGGAGAACGGAAUUCCUGGUGUAGCGGUGGAAUGCGCAGAUAUCAGGAGGAACACCAAUAGCGAAGGCAGCUCGCUGGGACGGUACUGACGCUAAGGUGCGAAAGCGUGGGGAGCGAACAGG